Erigeron canadensis is the source of this 830-nucleotide long non-coding RNA. RefSeq lists it as uncharacterized. The transcript has 2 exons. The record is from RefSeq and is a predicted model, not a curated record. NCBI's taxonomy places the organism in Eukaryota, Viridiplantae, Streptophyta, Magnoliopsida, Asterales, Asteraceae.
CAAAAACUAGUGGAUGGUUCUUAAUUUCCUAUUCUCUUAUCCAAAUCCCUCCUUAAUCAUCUUCCUUAUCCACCUCCUUUCUCAUAUUAAUCAAGUGAAUUGAAUUCAAGCAUAAGAGUUAAUCAAUCUUUCAAAAGAAUAAUGAUAACAAUCAUCCAUAAUCUUCAAGAAGCAAAAAUCUAAAGAGUUAGGGUUGAAAUUUUGGAGUGGUGACCGAUUUUAAGGAAGAAAAAGAAGAGAAAUUGAAGAAUUUAUCAUGUUUAAUUGUUUUUGGAGAUGGUGAAGAAUGUGUUGUGGAAUCUCAUAGCCAUAUAUUGUCAAUUAGCCAAAAAUCAAGGUAAGUGCAUAUGUUGUGCUUAUGGUUGUAAUAUGAAGCCAUAGAUGAUUAACACCUAUGACCCCAUGUAUGUGUUUGGUUUUGUGUAAGACUAACAGAGGUUGAAAUACCUACUAGCAUAUAUUGGUUUGGACAAGACUAGUAGAUGAUGAUAUACCUACUAGCAUACAUUCGUUAUGAGCAAGACUAGUAGAUGAUGAUAUACCUACUAGCAUAUUUUGUGUGUAAGACUGGUAGAUGAAGAGAUACCUAUUAGCAUAUAUUGGUUUAGGGUAAGACUAGUAGAUGGUACAAUAUCUACUAGCAUACAUUGUGUAUUGGGUAAGACUAGUGGAUGAAGAGAUACCUACUAGCAAAUAUUGAUUUAGUGUAAGACUAGUAGAUGAUAUGGUACCUACUAGCAUAUGUCAUUGGUCAAUUAGAAGAAAUGUGAUCAUGAAUGUAAUUAUUGUUAUCUUGAUUGUUAAACAAAUGGCUUAUGAGUUUAUAUGUA